GGUUUCGUGGUGUAGUUGGUUAUCACGUCAGUCUAACAGCUCGAAAGCUUCGCCUGUCGUCCUGUUCACUGAAGGUCUCCAGUUCGAACCUGGACGAAAUCA
Non-coding RNA from Colletotrichum somersetense, 102 nucleotides. The record is from the annotation of a GenBank genome assembly. NCBI's taxonomy places the organism in Eukaryota, Fungi, Ascomycota, Sordariomycetes, Glomerellales, Glomerellaceae.